CAAAUAAAUUAAAACUUUCAACAACGGAUCUCUUGGCUCUGGCAUCGAUGAAGAACGCAGCGAAAUGCGAUAAGUAAUGUGAAUUGCAGAAUUCAGUGAAUCAUCGAAUCUUUGAACGCACAUUGCGCCCGCCAGUAUUCUGGCGGGCAUGCCUGUUC
This 158-nucleotide ribosomal RNA is filed under the name Scytalidium verruculosum. Its description in RNAcentral is "Scytalidium verrucosum 5.8S ribosomal RNA". It matches the Rfam family "5.8S ribosomal RNA". From Rfam's summary of the family: 5.8S ribosomal RNA (5.8S rRNA) is a component of the large subunit of the eukaryotic ribosome. It is transcribed by RNA polymerase I as part of the 45S precursor that also contains 18S and 28S rRNA. Functionally, it is thought that 5.8S rRNA may be involved in ribosome translocation. Lineage: Eukaryota; Fungi; Ascomycota; Leotiomycetes. The record is from RNAcentral.